CGGACCGGUGAGUAACACGUGGAUAACCUACCUAUAAGACUGGGAUAACUUCGGGAAACCGGAGCUAAUACCGGAUAAUAUUUUGAACCGCAUGGUUCAAAAGUGAAAGACGGUCUUGCUGUCACUUAUAGAUGGAUCCGCGCUGCAUUAGCUAGUUGGUAAGGUAACGGCUUACCAAGGCAACGAUGCAUAGCCGACCUGAGAGGGUGAUCGGCCACACUGGAACUGAGACACGGUCCAGACUCCUACGGGAGGCAGCAGUAGGGAAUCUUCCGCAAUGGGCGAAAGCCUGACGGAGCAACGCCGCGUGAGUGAUGAAGGUCUUCGGAUCGUAAAACUCUGUUAUUAGGGAAGAACAUAUGUGUAAGUAACUGUGCACAUCUUGACGGUACCUAAUCAGAAAGCCACGGCUAACUACGUGCCAGCAGCCGCGGUAAUACGUAGGUGGCAAGCGUUAUCCGGAAUUAUUGGGCGUAAAGCGCGCGUAGGCGGUUUUUUAAGUCUGAUGUGAAAGCCCACGGCUCAACCGUGGAGGGUCAUUGGAAACUGGAAAACUUGAGUGCAGAAGAGGAAAGUGGAAUUCCAUGUGUAGCGGUGAAAUGCGCAGAGAUAUGGAGGAACACCAGUGGCGAAGGCGACUUUCUGGUCUGUAACUGACGCUGAUGUGCGAAAGCGUGGGGAUCAAACAGGAUUAGAUACCCUGGUAGUCCACGCCGUAAACGAUGAGUGCUAAGUGUUAGGGGGUUUCCGCCCCUUAGUGCUGCAGCUAACGCAUUAAGCACUCCGCCUGGGGAGUACGACCGCAAGGUUGAAACUCAAAGGAAUUGACGGGGACCCGCACAAGCGGUGGAGCAUGUGGUUUAAUUCGAAGCAACGCGAAGAACCUUACCAAAUCUUGACAUCCUUUGACAACUCUAGAGAUAGAGCCUUCCCCUUCGGGGGACAAAGUGACAGGUGGUGCAUGGUUGUCGUCAGCUCGUGUCGUGAGAUGUUGGGUUAAGUCCCGCAACGAGCGCAACCCUUAAGCUUAGUUGCCAUCAUUAAGUUGGGCACUCUAAGUUGACUGCCGGUGACAAACCGGAGGAAGGUGGGGAUGACGUCAAAUCAUCAUGCCCCUUAUGAUUUGGGCUACACACGUGCUACAAUGGACAAUACAAAGGGCAGCGAAACCGCGAGGUCAAGCAAAUCCCAUAAAGUUGUUCUCAGUUCGGAUUGUAGUCUGCAACUCGACUACAUGAAGAGGAAUCGCGAGUAAUUGUAGAUCAGCAUGGUAAGUUGAAAAAGUUCCCCGGUAGGGUU
Molecule: ribosomal RNA, 1299 nt
Filed under: Staphylococcus aureus
Lineage: Bacteria; Bacillati; Bacillota; Bacilli; Caryophanales; Staphylococcaceae
Description: bacterial SSU rRNA
Rfam family: Bacterial small subunit ribosomal RNA
Source: RNAcentral